This is a non-coding RNA of Pelobates cultripes (western spadefoot toad), 1365 nucleotides long. The record is from the annotation of a GenBank genome assembly. Lineage: Eukaryota; Metazoa; Chordata; Amphibia; Anura; Pelobatidae.
CUAACAUGUAAGCUCACUGAGCAGGCCCUCAAUCCCUCUGUUACUGUGUCACUAUACCCCACUCCCUCUAACAUGUAAACUCACUGAGCAGGCCCUCAAUCCCUCUGUUACUGUCACUAUACCCCACUCCCUCUAACAUGUAAACUCACUGAGCAGGGCCCUCAAUCCCUCUGUUACUGUGUCACUAUACCCCACUCCCUCUAGCAUGUAAACUCACUGAGCAGGGCCCUCAAUCCCUCUGUUACUGUGUCACUAUACCCCACUCCCUCUAACAUGUAAACUCACUGAGCAGGGCCCUCAAUCCCUCUGUUACUGUGUCACUAUACCCCACUCCCUCUAACAUGUAAACUCACUGAGCAGGGCCCUCAAUCCCUCUGUUACUGUCACUAUACCCCACUCCCUCUAACAUGUAAACUCACUGAGCAGGCCCUCAAUCCCUCUGUUACUGUGUCACUAUACCCCACUCCCUCUAACAUGUAAACUCACUGAGCAGGCCCUCAAUCCCUCUGUUACUGUGUCACUAUACCCCACUCCCUCUAACAUGUAAACUCACUGAGCAGGGCCCUCAAUCCCUCUGUUACUGUGUCACUAUACCCCACUCCCUCUAACAUGUAAACUCACUGAGCAGGCCUCAAUCCCUCUGUUACUGUGUCACUAUACCCCACUCCCUCUAACAUGUAAACUCACUGAGCAGGGCCCUCAAUCCCUCUGUUACUGUCACUAUACCCCACUCCCUCUAACAUGUAAACUCACUGAGCAGGCCCUCAAUCCCUCUGUUACUGUGUCACUAUACCCCACUCCCUCUAACAUGUAAACUCACUGAGCAGGCCCUCAAUCCCUCUGUUACUGUGUCACUAUACCCCACUCCCUCUAACAUGUAAACUCACUGAGCAGGGCCCUCAAUCCCUCUGUUACUGUCACUAUACCCUACUCCCUCUAACAUGUAAACUCACUGAGCAGGCCCUCAAUCCCUCUGUUACUGUCACUAUACCCCACUCCCUCUAACAUGUAAACUCACUGAGCAGGACCCUCAAUCCCUCUGUUACUGUGUCACUAUACCCCACUCCCUCUAGCAUGUAACCUCACUGAGCAGGGCCCUCAAUCCCUCUGUUACUGUGUCACUAUACCCCACUCCCUCUAACAUGUAAACUCACUGAGCAGGCCCUCAAUCCCUCUGUUACUGUGUCACUAUACCCCACUCCCUCUAACAUGUAAACUCACUGAGCAGGCCCUCAAUCCCUCUGUUACUGUGUCACUAUACCCCACUCCCUCUAACAUGUAAACUCACUGAGCAGGCCCUCAAUCCCUCUGUUACUGUGUCACUAUACCCCACUCCCUCUAACAUGUAAACUCACUGAGCAGGGC